Molecule: ribosomal RNA, 497 nt
Filed under: uncultured bacterium
Lineage: Bacteria
Description: partial 16S ribosomal RNA
Rfam family: Bacterial small subunit ribosomal RNA
Source: RNAcentral
GAUGAACGCUGGCUGCGUGCCUAAUACAUGCAAGUCGAGCGAACAGACGAGGAUUUUGUUCCACUGACGUUAGCGGCGGACGGUGGAGUAACACGUGGAUAACCUACCUAUAAGUCAGGGAUAACUUCCGGAACCCGCAGCUAAUACCGUAUGAUAUAUUGCACCGCAUGGCUCAAUAGUUAAAUACGGUUUUGCUCUCACUUAUAGAUGGAUCCGCGCCGCAUUAGUUCGUUGGUAAGGUAACGGCUAACCAAGGCGACGAUGCGUAGCCGACCUGAGAGGGUGGUCGGCCCCACUGGAACUGAAACGCGGUCCAGACUCCUACGCGACGGAGCAGUAGGGAAUCUUCGGUAGUGGGAGAGAGGCUGGCCGGGCCAAGCCGCGUGAGUGAUGAAGGUCUUGCGAUCUUAAAACUAUGUUGUUUGGGAGGAGGGAAUGUGUAAGUAACUAUGCAGGUCUUGAAGGUACCUAAUCAGAAAGGCACGGCUAACUACGUG